Molecule: ribosomal RNA, 478 nt
Filed under: uncultured bacterium
Lineage: Bacteria
Description: partial 16S ribosomal RNA
Rfam family: Bacterial small subunit ribosomal RNA
Source: RNAcentral
GAUGAACGCUAGCGGCAUGCCUAACACAUGCAAGUCGAGGGAGAAGCCCUUUCGGGGGCAGAAACCGGCGCACGGGUGCGUAACUCGUAUGCAACCUACCUUUCACAGGGGGAUAGCCCGAAGAAAUUUGGAUUAAUACCCCAUAAUAUUAUUGGAUGGCAUCAUUUGAUAAUUAAAACUGCGGUGGUGAAAGAUGGGCAUGCGUCCUAUUAGCUAGUUGGAGUGGUAACGGCACCCCAAGGCUACGAUAGGUAGGGGUCCUGAGAGGGAGAUCCCCCACACUGGUACUGAGACAGGGACAAGACUCCUACGGGAGGCAGCAGUGAGGAAUAUUGGUCAAUGGUCGGAAGACUGAACCAGCCAUGCCGCGUGCAGGAAGAAUGCCUUAUGGGUUGUAAACUGCUUUUAUAUGGGAAGAAUAAGGCGUACGUGUACGUUGAUGACGGUACCAUAUGAAUAAGCAUCGGCUAACUCCGUG